Molecule: long non-coding RNA, 3492 nt
Organism: Clupea harengus (Atlantic herring)
Lineage: Eukaryota; Metazoa; Chordata; Actinopteri; Clupeiformes; Clupeidae
Source: Ensembl
GUGCUUACUUUUGAAAAAUCUGCCAGAGGCAAUCAAAUAAGAUAAACAAGCCAGCACACCAAACUGACAGAGAGAACAGCUGAUGGGAUGGACGUGGCUGCUGAUAUGUAGGCUAGUGCACUGUUCCAGAGCCCUCUGCACCAAUGCCCCUCCACUGAAGCAACACUGGUACAAGACAAAGAAAAGAAAAAAGAUAGGGGAUCAAAAGUGACUACAUCUAUGUACAGAAGGAAAUUAAUGCCAAAAUGUGUUUGAAGACCAACACCUCAUUUCAGCAGACUUACAUAUCUGUAGUUUUUGGAACAGCUAUGGAAGAAUCUUAUUUUGCACUUACAAGUAUGUUAUUUUAUUGCUAUCGUUACAAUUGCAACACUGCAAGAGAAUUAACCAAUUGUUGAAGUGUAGCCUACAGGAAAUUGACAGAUUCUCAUGUUCAAUUGUUCAACAAAUGUGGUAUUGUAUCACUAAUGCAUUUUCUGUAAGCAUGUAUGUGAAAACACAGAAAUGUACUAAAAUUCAAUUAAACCUCAAUGUGCUCAUAAAAAUAAGUAGGCACACGCUCCAAACAUUAGGCUAAAACAGAAGAUGUCCUUCAUCAAUUACGCCAGCCUCGUAGCAGGUGAUUAUUGGCCAGUGGCACUGGUCCAUUUUUCCCACUUUGAAAAGAGAUGUACAUUAGUUGUCCUUCUUCACAACCUUCACUGACACUGAUGUGUGAUUUAAGAAGCUGUCUCCAGAGAAUAAAUGAUAUCAGCUUAUAAGUAAUGUUGACACAAUUUUAGUCACAGACACAUAUAAAAAUAAUACACAACAUACACACUCCUGUCCAAUAUAUAUAUCCAUAUUGAGGCUUACAUACACAGUUCAUAUAUAUAUAAUCUGAAGGCAUUUUAAACUUCCUGAUUGUAUAAUUUGAAAGGCAUACUAAAUCCAUGCAGAAUACCCCUUCCAUCAUUUAACCAAAUCAGUUAUGUUCCUGCCGUCAAUUUCCAUGCAAGACAAUAUAUUAAAUCCAAAUAUUCUUUUAAGCCAAGUCACCCAAAAAAGGCACAAAUGAGAUAUUUGUGUUCUGGCUGGCAUCAGCUUUUCUAUGGAGACAGCUACUGCAAAAUUGCUAAAAAAAAAGAAGGGGGAAAUAAUUUUGGUAUACCUUUUGUUUCCAUAUGCGCCAUGUUAAAAAAAUAUUGUUUACCAUUGAAGAGUGAUACUGUGAUAUGAUCCGCAUUUGGCACUAUUCCUUAUCAGGCUAUUCUUUCAGUGAAUUUUAAUUAUUCAGUAUAAGCAUGUUUGUGCCAAUGAUCCUAAUGAUCUUUCUACUCAGAUUCUCAAGAAUGUACGAGGCGAAAUCUUUUUACACGGUUAAGGUGGUGAACCUGGUGGCCAGCUACAAGAUGGACUGAAGUGGGCAUUGGCAAAUAGAUGGGCCUAAGGGGAAGUAUUUCUACCCUUCAACUCUGCACCCUUAGUGGAAUAACAGGCACAAGUUAUUUCCUAAAGAAGGCAAUAGAUUUGGUACCUUGAGCAGAUACUGAAGAUCAAUCAUCGUGUUUGGCUUUCAGAACUCACAGAAAACUGUUAAACUAGUGUCAUAUUUUGUCAAAAGGACAUGAGGCCAGCAGAAGCAGUCACACAUCCUAAUUUUGCCUCCUGUCCAAAGAUACCAACACAGGGAAGAACAAACUGUUGAUCACUAGAUACAGACAAAACAAAUGUACAUUUUGCAUGAUAAAAGGUGUAAUAUAAAAAAAAAAAAAAAAAAAAAAAAAAAAACACAUGCAUAACAGUAAAAACCAAAUCCCAGAAAUUCAUCCUGCAUCAGACUCACACGUGUCUAUUGGAAAAGAAAACACAUAGAAGUAAACCCUACAUGUUUGUUAGGGAAAACAGAAGGACACUGCCCCAAGAACACCAGCUCAUGCUUUCCACUAUAUCAGGUUUGAAGUGGACAGAACCUGAUAACAUCAGGCACAAUACAGUGAACUCACAAACACGCACAAUCUCCAGAUCUUCUCCAGAAUACAUUGCUUACAUCACGAAACACUGGGUUGUACCAGUAACAUUGUUUCCUGUACAGAACCCCCCUAUGCAGCAGCUAGAGUGCCCAGUCAAACGAGAGCCAGUUUAGGGUCCACUGUGAGACCAGUCUGGGGACACCAUUAACGUUCUGAUAAGGUUGCUGUAACGUUUUCUAUGAUAUGAGCUCAACCAUUCUGAAGGUACAUAGAAGCACAAGAUCGUAUACAUAGGCAGACAGGAGUAUAAAAUGCAUAUGGCUUUCACUGGCACACUAGAAUGCAGUAGUUCUUGACCGUUAAAUUCUCGAGGGUAAAAACAGAGCUAUCAGUAGUUUCUUAUUUCGAUUUUCAUGUGAAAUGUGGAGGUGGAGAUCCAUUACUUGGCCCAUCGAGGGGAGCUGAUCACUGAUAUUACUGACGGCAAAUGACUCUGCUCCUCCAGGCUGCUAUCUUGUGUCCCAUGUGGAGUCUCCAUUACAUAUGUAAUGCACUAAGUGUCGAUAUGUUCAAUUUGUAUUUUAACAACAUAUUCCAGCUGGUACAGGAUGUAGAAAAGGCAGAUGGAAAAAAAACUACAAAAGACCGACAAAUAAAGAAGAGGCACCACACUGAAUAACAAGGAGUAAUGUAGAGAAUACCUCACAGGCCUUAGAAAAGAAACAACUCCUCACCAGCAUCUUGUUUCUUUGAUUCUUUGUGCCUGUUUUUUUGCGCUGAUGUACUUGUCAAGGGCACUAAUGAAUGAUACUGUUGUCCCAAAGUAAGAAACUACAAAAAACACUAUUCUGAGAGAAGACUGGCUUGUCAUUUUUUCCCCAUCUAAUGUAAGACUCCGGACAGGUGAACGGGCAGUGAAGGUGAGAAACAAGGCAGUGAACAGACUUUGGCAGUACGGCCAUUUUAUCCCAGCAAACAUGAGGUAACUGCUGACUGUCCCACUGCAAGGAGGGGGGAGAAGUCAAAAACUAACACAUGGUCUGAAACAAACAAAACAAAACUGCAAGUUUGGGGUACAUAAUCCUUUUGACACACACUUGUACAUAUUUUAUCCAUCCCAUUUACAGUAUCAACAAGGUUUGACUUUCCCCGAGACUACUUCAAAUUAAUUGAUCAACUUUCUUCUGAACACCAUAUUGCAUGUCUCUUUUUGUCACUUAGGGUUCAGGCACCAUAAACACGACAAUUCAUGGCAGCACUAAACACCCCUAGUUGGUGCUUCAAGUUUCGGAAAAAUACAAAAUACAUCCUACAAAAUUUGAAAAGAGGGCAGGCCACACCAUACAGGAGGUGAGAACCAAGAGAUCAGUACCCAGACAGCAGGCAAUUGAGGACUGGACCUGGUCCUGGAUAUGAGCCGAAUGUAGCCUACAGCCGGAUGCUAUUUGGGUAUGGCACAGAACCUUGAAGAACUGUAAUGACACUUCUCAUCAGAGGACCAUCUGCCCCGCACAUUCGCUAUGGAAAGCAAGUAGCUCAC